Molecule: transfer RNA, 76 nt
Filed under: Acidobacteriota bacterium
Lineage: Bacteria; Pseudomonadati; Acidobacteriota
Also listed under: 6 other names
Description: tRNA-Thr
Rfam family: tRNA
About the family: Transfer RNA (tRNA) molecules are approximately 80 nucleotides in length. Their secondary structure includes four short double-helical elements and three loops (D, anti-codon, and T loops).
Source: RNAcentral
GCUGGCGUAGCUCAGUUGGUAGAGCAUCUGAUUUGUAAUCAGAGGGUCGGGGGUUCAAGUCCCUUCGCCAGCUCCA